Molecule: long non-coding RNA, 112 nt
Organism: Zingiber officinale
Lineage: Eukaryota; Viridiplantae; Streptophyta; Magnoliopsida; Zingiberales; Zingiberaceae
Exons: 3
Source: RefSeq, a predicted model, not a curated record
GGGGUUUAAGUAAGGUAACGGCAAGGGUUGUGUGAUGUGGAUCAACUAGCAAGGUUGGGAAGAAGGAAGUUGGAUGUUUGUUUGGGGUUUUGAUUUGAGACAAGAGCUCUGA